AUUGAACGCUGGCGGCAGGCCUAACACAUGCAAGUCGAACGGUAGCACAGAGAGCUUGCUCUCGGGUGACGAGUGGCGGACGGGUGAGUAAUGUCUGGGAAACUGCCUGAUGGAGGGGGAUAACUACUGGAAACGGUAGCUAAUACCGCAUAAUGUCGCAAGACCAAAGAGGGGGGACCUUUCGGGUCCGUCCUUUGGUCCAUCAGAUGUGCCCAGAUGGGAUUAG
RNAcentral lists this ribosomal RNA (226 nucleotides) under uncultured bacterium. RNAcentral describes it as "partial 16S ribosomal RNA". It matches the Rfam family "Bacterial small subunit ribosomal RNA", at positions 30 to 244 of the family's 1533-position model. The record is from RNAcentral.